GGGGAAUUUUGGACAAUGGGCGCAAGCCUGAUCCAGCGACGCCGCGUGGAGGACGAAGGCCUUCGGGUUGUAAACUCCUUUUGGAGGGGAAGAAUAAAUUGACGGUACCCUCAGAAAAAGCCACGGCUAACUACGUGCCAGCAGCCGCGGUAAUACGUAGGUGGCGAGCGUUACUCGGAAUUACUAGGCGUAAAGCGUAUGUAGGUGGUUAGAUAAGUCUAUGGUGAAAUUUCCUGGCUUAACUGGGAAGGGACAUAGAUACUAUCUGGCUUGAGUGUGGGAGGGGGAGACGGAAUUCCUGGUGUAGCGGUGAAAUGCGUAGAUAUCAGGAGGAACACCGAUGGCGAAAGCAGUCUCCUGGCCCAAUACUGACACUGAGGUACGAAAGCUAGGGUAGCAAACA
Molecule: ribosomal RNA, 403 nt
Filed under: uncultured Candidatus Endomicrobium sp.
Lineage: Bacteria; Pseudomonadati; Elusimicrobiota; Endomicrobiia; Endomicrobiales; Endomicrobiaceae
Description: bacterial SSU rRNA
Rfam family: Bacterial small subunit ribosomal RNA
Source: RNAcentral